This 1372-nucleotide ribosomal RNA is filed under the name Psephenidae sp. BMNH 842687. Its description in RNAcentral is "16S ribosomal RNA". The stretch from base 1071 to 1229 matches the Rfam family "Archaeal large subunit ribosomal RNA", at positions 2544 to 2703 of the family's 2987-position model. Lineage: Eukaryota; Metazoa; Arthropoda; Insecta; Coleoptera; Psephenidae. The record is from RNAcentral.
UCAAUAUAAUUUGAGAAAUAAAAUUAUUUUAUUUUUGGUUAAUUUAUUUAGAAAAAUUAAAAAAAUAUUAUUUAAUUAUGUUUUAUUAUAAUUUUUAGAAAAAAUUUAUUUAAUUAUAGUUUAUUUUUAUUGUAAAUGAUUUUAUAAUUUAUAUAUUUAAUUUAAAGUAAAAUUUAUUUUUUGUACCUUGUGUAUCAGGGCUGAUUAAUUAAAAUUUAAAUAUUUAAUUUUCUCGAAAUAAAGGGAUUUAAUUAAUUAUUAUUAUUACUGUUGAAUAAGUAUUUUUAAUAUUUAAUUAGAAAUGAAAAGUUAUUCGUUCUUUAUUAUAUCUAGUUUUUCUAUAAAUAAAUUUAAUUUAAUUAUUUAAAAUAAUUUUUUUUGAUUAUAUAAAAAAAAUUAUGUAAAUAGUAAAUAUUUAAUGGGAUUAGCUUUUAAAUAAAUUUUUAAAAAAUUUAAAUUUUAAUAAAUUUGUAAGUUUAGAAUUAUUUAUUAUUAAUAAAAUGUUAUAAUUAAUUUAAUAAAAAAUAAGAUUUAUUAAUUUUUAAUUAAUUUAUAGAAAUAAUUUUUUUAAUUUUUUAAAAAAUUUAAUAAUAAUUAAAUUAGUAUAAUUUUUUGUAUUAAUAAUUUUGAUUUAAAAAUUAUUUUUAGGAAUUCGGCAAUAAUUUUUUCUGAAUGUUUAUCAAAAACAUUUCUUUUAGAUAAUAUUUAAAAGUAUAACCUGCUCAAUGAAAAUUUAAAUAGCUGCGGUAUUUUGACCGUACAAAGGUAGCAUAAUCAUUAGUUUUUUAAUUGAAAGCUAGAAUGAAUGGUUGAACAAGAAAAACACUGUCUUAAAAUAAAAUAUUGAAUUUAAUUUUUAAGUUAAAAAGCUUAAAUGAGUUUAAAAGACGAGAAGACCCUUUAGAUCUUUAUUUUUAAAGUUUUAUAAAAUUUAUAGAAAAUUUAAUUUUAUAUAAUUUUAAAUAUUUUGUUGGGGUGACAAAAAGAUUUAUAAAACUCUUUAUAAUUUAUACAAUGAUUAUUGAAUUUUUGAUCCAUUAUUAUUGAUUAUAAGAUUAAGUUACCUAAGGGAUAACAGCGUAAUUUUUUUGAAGAGUUCAUAUCGAUAAAAAAGAUUGCGACCUCGAUGUUGGAUUAAGAAAUAAUUUUGGUGCAAAAGUUAAAUAUUAAGGUCUGUUCGACCUUUAAAUUCUUACAUGAUCUGAGUUCAGACCGGCGUGAGCCAGGUUGGUUUCUAUCUUUAUAAAUAUAAAAUAUUUUAGUACGAAAGGACCAAGUAUUUAAUAAAUUAUUUAAUUAUGAAUAAAAUUAAUGUUAUUUUGGCAGAUUAGUGUGAUAGAUUUAGAAUCUAUAUAUGUAUAUAUUAUACAAG